GACGAACGCUGGCGGCGUGCUUAACACAUGCAAGUCGAACGAUGAACCGGUUUCGGCCGGGGAUUAGUGGCGAACGGGUGAGUAACACGUGGGCAAUCUGCCCUGCACUCUGGGAUAAGCCCGGGAAACUGGGUCUAAUACCGGAUACGACACUCCGAGGCAUCUUGGGGUGUGGAAAGUUCCGGCGGUGCAGGAUGAGCCCGCGGCCUAUCAGCUUGUUGGUGGGGUAAUGGCCUACCAAGGCGACGACGGGUAGCCGGCCUGAGAGGGUGACCGGCCACACUGGGACUGGGACACGGCCCAGACUCCUACGGGAGGCAGCAGUGGGGAAUAUUGCACAAUGGGCGAAAGCCUGAUGCAGCGACGUCGCGUGAGGGAUGACGGCCUUCGGGUUGUAAACCUCUUUCAGCAGGGAAGAAGCGAAAGUGACGGUACCUGCAGAAGAAGCACCGGCUAACUACGUG
Molecule: ribosomal RNA, 464 nt
Filed under: uncultured bacterium
Lineage: Bacteria
Description: partial 16S ribosomal RNA
Rfam family: Bacterial small subunit ribosomal RNA
Source: RNAcentral